This 1404-nucleotide ribosomal RNA is filed under the name Enterococcus faecalis. RNAcentral's name for it is "partial 23S ribosomal RNA". It matches the Rfam family "Bacterial large subunit ribosomal RNA", at positions 1 to 1401 of the family's 2925-position model. The record is from RNAcentral. Lineage: Bacteria; Bacillati; Bacillota; Bacilli; Lactobacillales; Enterococcaceae.
GUUGAUAAGGUUAAGUGAAUAAGGGCGCACGGUGGAUGCCUUGGCACUAGGAGCCGAUGAAGGACGGGACUAACACCGAUAUGCUUUGGGGAGCUGUAAGUAAGCUAUGAUCCAGAGAUUUCCGAAUGGGGGAACCCAAUAUCUUUUAUAGGAUAUUACUUUUCAGUGAAUACAUAGCUGAUUAGAGGUAGACGCAGAGAACUGAAACAUCUUAGUACCUGCAGGAAGAGAAAGAAAAUUCGAUUCCCUGAGUAGCGGCGAGCGAAACGGGAAGAGCCCAAACCAACAAGCUUGCUUGUUGGGGUUGUAGGACUCCAAUAUGGUAGUCUGUUAGUAUAGUUGAAGGAUUUGGAAAAUUCCGCUAAAGAGGGUGAAAGCCCCGUAGACGAAAUGCUGACAACACCUAGGAGGAUCCUGAGUACGGCGGAACACGAGAAAUUCCGUCGGAAUCCGCGGGGACCAUCCCGCAAGGCUAAAUACUCCCUAGUGACCGAUAGUGAACCAGUACCGUGAGGGAAAGGUGAAAAGCACCCCGGAAGGGGAGUGAAAUAGAUCCUGAAACCGUGUGCCUACAACAAGUCAAAGCUCGUUAAUGAGUGAUGGCGUGCCUUUUGUAGAAUGAACCGGCGAGUUACGAUUGCAUGCGAGGUUAAGUCGAAGAGACGGAGCCGCAGCGAAAGCGAGUCUGAAUAGGGCGAAUGAGUAUGUAGUCGUAGACCCGAAACCAUGUGAUCUACCCAUGUCCAGGUUGAAGGUGCGGUAAAACGCACUGGAGGACCGAACCCACGUACGUUGAAAAGUGCGGGGAUGAGGUGUGGGUAGCGGAGAAAUUCCAAACGAACUUGGAGAUAGCUGGUUCUCUCCGAAAUAGCUUUAGGGCUAGCCUCGGAAUUGAGAAUGAUGGAGGUAGAGCACUGUUUGGACUAGGGGCCCAUCUCGGGUUACCGAAUUCAGAUAAACUCCGAAUGCCAUUCAUUUAUAUCCGGGAGUCAGACUGCGAGUGAUAAGAUCCGUAGUCGAAAGGGAAACAGCCCAGACCACCAGCUAAGGUCCCAAAAUAUAUGUUAAGUGGAAAAGGAUGUGGGGUUGCACAGACAACUAGGAUGUUGGCUUAGAAGCAGCCACCAUUUAAAGAGUGCGUAAUAGCUCACUAGUCGAGUGACCCUGCGCCGAAAAUGUACCGGGGCUAAACAUAUUACCGAAGCUGUGGACUACACCAUUAGGUGUAGUGGUAGGAGAGCGUUCUAAGGGCGUUGAAGGUCGAUCGUGAGGACGGCUGGAGCGCUUAGAAGUGAGAAUGCCGGUAUGAGUAGCGAAAGACAGGUGAGAAUCCUGUCCACCGUAUGACUAAGGUUUCCUGGGGAAGGCUCGUCCGCCCAGGGUUAGUCGGGACCUAAGCCGAGG